Molecule: ribosomal RNA, 395 nt
Filed under: Staphylococcus aureus subsp. aureus CO-06
Lineage: Bacteria; Bacillati; Bacillota; Bacilli; Caryophanales; Staphylococcaceae
Description: bacterial SSU rRNA
Rfam family: Bacterial small subunit ribosomal RNA
Source: RNAcentral
UUUUAUGGAGAGUUUGAUCCUGGCUCAGGAUGAACGCUGGCGGCGUGCCUAAUACAUGCAAGUCGAGCGAACGGACGAGAAGCUUGCUUCUCUGAUGUUAGCGGCGGACGGGUGAGUAACACGUGGAUAACCUACCUAUAAGACUGGGAUAACUUCGGGAAACCGGAGCUAAUACCGGAUAAUAUUUUGAACCGCAUGGUUCAAAAGUGAAAGACGGUCUUGCUGUCACUUAUAGAUGGAUCCGCGCUGCAUUAGCUAGUUGGUAAGGUAACGGCUUACCAAGGCAACGAUGCAUAGCCGACCUGAGAGGGUGAUCGGCCACACUGGAACUGAGACACGGUCCAGACUCCUACGGGAGGCAGCAGUAGGGAAUCUUCCGCAAUGGGCGAAAGCCU